RNAcentral lists this unclassified non-coding RNA (2362 nucleotides) under Leishmania donovani. RNAcentral describes it as "gene:LdHU3.32.1230(CDS-product:ethanolamine-phosp hate_cytidylyltransferase)". Lineage: Eukaryota; Euglenozoa; Kinetoplastea; Trypanosomatida; Trypanosomatidae. The record is from RNAcentral.
CAGCGCAUGUUUUUUUUUCAUUAUAUCGGAUCCGUCAGAGGUAUACAGACAGACGGACACACACACACACAUGUAUAUGCGUAUAUGCAUACCUGCUACACGCAAACCACCGCCAACCCCUAAACGAAAAGGAAAAGGUAUUAGCUACUGAACACACAGACACUUCUGUGCUCUUCACAUUUCGGUAUUUCGGUCUCUCUGCGCCUGUCGCCCCAAACCCCCUGGCUCGCUCCACACUCCCAGCAUUAGCUGUGAAGGCGGCUCCUGUCGUCUCUUUCCUCUAUCCCCCCCCUCCUCACACAGUGUGCUGUGGAACCUCGGAAGUAACGCCCCUUCGACGCGCCCUACUGCACCGCGUUAGCGGUCGCUGCCCUAUCCGCGUGGCGCAUUCGUGCAUCGCGAGGGGCAGCAGCACACGACAGCGGAUACCUCCUGUGUCUUCACUCUUCGAAGCGCAUACACAAUCCGGCGUGGUGCCCGCAAUUUCAUUGCGCCUUUCCAGUGAGACGGCACUCACCCUUUCCGCUUCUGCCGCCAUCAUGCCCACCGUUCCCUCUUCAACUCCGUCGCCCGCCUCCGCACCCAGUGUGGAGGUGCCACCAGGCAAAGUGUGGCUGAACGCCGACGAGCCGAAUGACGAGUACUCGCUGUUCUGCACCGAGGCGAUCCCACCGAAGGUGCCAGGCACAGUUCGCAUUUGGGUGGACGGCUGCUUCGACAUGCUCCACUUUGGGCACGCGAAUGCACUGCGUCAGGCACGUCGACUCGGCGACGAGCUCUUUGUCGGGUGCCACAGUGAUGAGGAGGUAAUGCGCUUCAAGGGGCCGCCGAUCAUGCACGCCGAGGAGCGCUAUGAGGCGCUGCGGGCGUGCAAAUGGGUCGACUACGUGGUCGAGAACUAUCCCUACUGCACACGGCUCAAGGAUGUCGAGCGGUUGGAGAUUGACUACGUCGUUCACGGUGACGAUAUCUCCGUCGACUUGAAUGGCCGCAACUCGUACCAGGAAAUCAUCGAUGCCGGCAAGUUCAAGGUGGUGAAGCGCACCGAGGGCAUCUCCACGACAGACUUGGUGGGACGCAUGCUCCUAUGCACCAAGAACCACAUGCUCAAGUCAGUGGACGAGGUGCAGCUGGAGAGCUCCCUGUUCGAGCACAGCCCCACUAUGCACUGCCUGACUACGUCCCGCAAGAUUGUGCAGUUCAGCAACAACUCGAGCCCCAAGUCAGGCGACCGUAUCGUCUAUGUGGACGGGAGUUUCGAUCUCUUUCAUAUUGGCCACAUCCGCGUUUUGCAGAAGGCGCGCGAGUUGGGCGACUACGUCAUUGCCGGCGUGUAUGAAGAUCAGGUGGUGAAUGAGCACAAAGGCAAGAACUAUCCAAUCAUGAACCUCAACGAGCGUGUGCUCGGCGUCCUGUCGUGCCGUUACGUUGACGAAGUGGUGAUGGGCGUGCCGUUUGACGUCAGCAAGGAUGUGAUUGACGGCCUCCACAUUAACGUGGUCGUAGGCGGCAAGUUCUCGGACCUGGUGGUAGAGGAGGGAGGGAGUACGAGAUACGAGGUGCCCAAGGCGAUGGGCAUCUACCACGAAGUGGACUCGGGCUGCACCCUCUCGACGGACUCCCUUAUCGACCGCGUGGUCGAAAACCGCCUCGCCUUUCUGAAGCGGCAGGCGGAAAAGCAGAUCAAGGACAAGAAGAGUCAGGAGAUAAAGCCGGACGACUACCGCGAUGUGCGGGAGGUGAGCUAGCGUAGUGGGCUGGAGGAAAGACACAGAGGAGCUGCGUGUGUGUGUGUUUGGGGGGGGGGUGGAGAGGCCGCCAAAGGUGCAAACGGCGGGAGCGAGGGGGGAGGAGGAGCGGGAGGAAAGAGGGCUUGAGGGAAAGCGAACGUUGUUGUCGGACUCUCUUGCCACCGAGGGGAACCACUCUUCUCUUUUGGUUUGGUGUGUGCGUGUGCAGGUCGCGGCUGACCUUCCACCUCGGUGCUCUUCUCCUUCUCUCUUGGCGCUUCAGUUUGCCGAAUCCCAUGCAGUGUUGCCUUCAGCGUGGUGUUGCGGCGAGCUCGCCCGUAUUCUCACCGUUGGCGUUCAUUUGCCUCGGCGGUGCCUUGCCUUUCUAUCUCUCUGUGCCUCCUUAGCGGUUGCUGGCCUCGAAUUUUUGUUUUGCGUACCUUACGUUGCUGGCCGCGACGGCGCACAUAGCUGCCGGUGCCGCACAGCACCGAAACAGCAGAUGCCCUCCCACGAAGACACUCUUGUAUUUUUUUUUGCCCAUGUUGCCGUACCAUUUCCCGUUGCAAUGUGAGAAACCAGACCACCACCCUCAAAUUCGCUUAUUACCCUUCAGGACACAUCUCCUAAGU